ACUCAAAUGAAUAGACGGGGACCCGCACAAGCGGUGGAGCAUGUGGAUUAAUUCGAUACUAACCGAAGAACCUUACCCAGGUUUGACAUCGAUCGUAAAGCGUAGAAAUACGCUCCUCUCCCACAAGGAGACGUGAAGACACUUGUUGCAUGGCUGUCGUCAGCUCGUGCCGUGAGGUGUACGGUUAAGUCCGCCAACGAGCGCAACCCUCGUCCUGUGUUACCAGCAUGAAAGAUGGGGACUCACAGGAGACCGCCGGUGUAAGCCGGAGGAAGGUGGGGAUGAUGUCAAGUCAGCAUGGCAGUUACAUCUGGGGCUUCACACAUGCUACAAUGGGCGAAACAAAGGGACGCGAUACCGCGAGGUGGAGCUAAUCCCAAAAAUACGCCCCCAGUUCAGAUUGCAGUCUGCAACUCGACUGCAUGAAGGCGGAAUCGCUAGUAAACGCAGGUCAGCUAUACUGCGUUGAAUACGUUCCCGGGUCUUGCACACACCGCCCGU
RNAcentral lists this ribosomal RNA (501 nucleotides) under uncultured bacterium. Its description in RNAcentral is "partial 16S ribosomal RNA". It matches the Rfam family "Bacterial small subunit ribosomal RNA", at positions 899 to 1397 of the family's 1533-position model. The record is from RNAcentral.